GUAGCGCCAAUAGUGCAUUGGCGCUGUGUUUGAUCCUGAUCAUCCCCACAUGUUAGGCGAUGAAUUUGGAUGCGAGGUCUGCAAAGCUGGAAAUUGAUCCGGCUGGCAAACCAGAAAACCAUCGAUAGGCAUUGCCCUUAAGAGUGCCGGGGAAUGCUCGACACAGUAGUGCGUUAUCAGUGGUUUGCGGUUCCAGAACGCUGAGGUAGAGGUUGACGUGAUCUUGUGGAUCACUCGAACCAUCGUACGACUCUAUUCUGGGUACCCG
RNAcentral lists this long non-coding RNA (268 nucleotides) under Zostera marina. RNAcentral describes it as "long non-coding RNA (ZMAR_LNC005085)". Lineage: Eukaryota; Viridiplantae; Streptophyta; Magnoliopsida; Alismatales; Zosteraceae. The record is from RNAcentral.